RNAcentral lists this ribosomal RNA (1288 nucleotides) under metagenome. Its description in RNAcentral is "bacterial LSU rRNA". It matches the Rfam family "Bacterial large subunit ribosomal RNA", at positions 1609 to 2925 of the family's 2925-position model. The record is from RNAcentral.
AAAGAAAAGCCGCUAUAGAUCAUAUCGUACCCGUACCGUAAACCGACACAGGUAGAUGAGGAGAGAAUCCUAAGGCCGACGGGAGCAGCAUUGUUAAGGAACUCGGCAAAAUGACCCCGUAACUUCGGGAGAAGGGGUGCCCACGCGAGUGGGCCGCAGAGAAUAGGCUCAAGCAACUGUUUAGCAAAAACAGGUCUAUGCGAAACCGAAAGGUGAGGUAUAUGGGCUGACGCCUGCCCGGUGCUGGAAGGUUAAGAGGAGGAGUUAGGCAACGAAGCUCCGAAUUUAAGCCCCAGUAAACGGCGGCCGUAACGAUAACGGUCCUAAGGUAGCGAAAUUCCUUGUCGGGUAAGUUCCGACCCGCACGAAAGGCGUAAUGAUUUGAGCACUGUCUCGACAAUGCACCCGGUGAAAUUGAAGUACCAGUGAAGAUGCUGGUUACCUGCGCCAGGACGGAAAGACCCCAUGGAGCUUUACUCCAGUUUGAUACUGGGAUUCGAUACUGAAUGUACAGGAUAGGUGGGAGGCUGAGAAGCGUGGACGCCAGUCUGCGGUGAGCCGCUGUUGGGAUACCACCCUUUGAGUAUUGGAUUUCUAGCCUGCGCCCGUGACCCGGGCGGGGGACAAUGUCUGACGGGGAGUUUGACUGGGGCGGUCGCCUCCGAAAGGGUAUCGGAGGCGCUCAAAGGUUCCCUCAGAAUGGUUGGAAACCAUUCGCAGAGUGCAAAGGCAGAAGGGAGCUUGACUGUGACACCGACGGGUGGAGCAGGUACGAAAGUAGGACUUAGUGAUCCGGUGGUAUGAAAGUGGGAUUGCCAUCGCUCAACGGAUAAAAGCUACCCUGGGAUAACAUGCUUAUCACUCCCAAGAGUUCACAUCGACGGAGUGGUUUGGCACCUCGAUGUCGGCUCAUCGCAUCCUGGGGCUGUAGCAGGUCCCAAGGGUUGGGCUGUUCGCCCAUUAAAGCGGUACGCGAGCUGGGUUCAGAACGUCGUGAGACAGUUCGGUCCCUAUCCGGCGCAGGCGUAGGAUAUUUGAGAGGAGCUGUCCUUAGUACGAGAGGACCGGGAUGGACAGACCGCUGGUGUAUCUGUUGGUGACCAACACCAUGGCAGAGUAGCCAAGUCUGGCAGGGAUAAACGCUGAAGGCAUCUAAGCGUGAAGCCCCCCUCAAGAUGAGAUAUCCCAAUAAGUAAGACCCCUUAGAGAGUAUGAGGUAGAUAGGCUUAAGGUGUAAGCAUAGUAAUAUGUUCAGCUGAUAAGUACUAAUAGGUCGAGGGCUUAUGAA